CUUUUCACUCUGGCCCACAAAUGUUUAAAUUACAAAUAUGACCUCCAUGACUCCCCCUUUUUUACAAAUACCCCCUUGUUACGUAACAAUUUUUCCACCCACGUGAAUGCAAUGGACUAUGGACUUAAUUUUGAAAGUUAUAGAACUGAAGUAGAAAAUAUAGAAUUUUGAGGAUCAUUGAAAUCGAAAACUAGACCCAAAUUGGAGGGACAGGUUAGACUUGGUAGAAACUAGAAACAGAAAAUACUGUUCACACCCACCAAGCUCUCAAACUCAAAAGUAGAGGUGUCCA
This 292-nucleotide long non-coding RNA is filed under the name Actinidia chinensis (golden kiwifruit). Its description in RNAcentral is "long non-coding RNA (ACHI_LNC007593)". Lineage: Eukaryota; Viridiplantae; Streptophyta; Magnoliopsida; Ericales; Actinidiaceae. The record is from RNAcentral.